AUUGAACGCUGGCGGAAUGCUUUACACAUGCAAGUCGAGCGGCAGCGCGGGGCAACCUGGCGGCGAGCGGCGAACGGGUGAGUAAUACAUCGGAACGUGCCCAGACGUGGGGGAUAACUACUCGAAAGAGUGGCUAAUACCGCAUACGAUCUGAGGAUGAAAGCGGGGGAUCGCAAUACCUCGCGCGUCUGGAGCGGCCGAUGGCAGAUUAGGUAGUUGGUGAGGUAAAGGCUUACCAAGCCUGCGAUCUGUAGCUGGUCUGAGAGGAUGAUCAGCCACACUGGGACUGAGACACGGCCCAGACUCCUACGGGAGGCAGCAGUGGGGAAUUUUGGACAAUGGGCGAAAGCCUGAUCCAGCCAUUCCGCGUGCAGGAUGGAGGCCCUCGGGUUGUAAACUGCUUUUGUACGGAACGAAAAAGACUCCGGCUAAUACCUGGAGUCCAUGACGGUACCGUAAGAAUAAGCACCGGCUAACUACGUGCCAG
RNAcentral lists this ribosomal RNA (487 nucleotides) under uncultured bacterium. RNAcentral's name for it is "bacterial SSU rRNA". It matches the Rfam family "Bacterial small subunit ribosomal RNA", at positions 30 to 511 of the family's 1533-position model. The record is from RNAcentral.